Molecule: small nuclear RNA, 95 nt
Filed under: Neogale vison (American mink)
Lineage: Eukaryota; Metazoa; Chordata; Mammalia; Carnivora; Mustelidae
Source: RNAcentral
UUGCUUUGGCAACACAGAUACUAAAAUUGGAAUGAUACAGAGAUUAGCCCCUGCGCAAGGAUGAUAUGCAAAUUUGUGAAGCAUUCCAUAUUUUU